UCCGAGUUGUCCCCGGCUUUCACCGGGCUUUCACCAGCAUGUCAAACCCAGGUAAGGUUCUUCGCGUUGCUUCGAAUUAAACCACAUGCUCCACCGCUUGUGCGGGCCCCCGUCAAUUCCUUUGAGUUUCAGCCUUGCGGCCGUACUCCCCAGGCGGGGCACUUAACGCGUUAGCUGCGGCACCGAAGGGGUCGUUCCCCCCGGCACCUAGUGCCCAUCGUUUACGGCGUGGACUUC
RNAcentral lists this unclassified non-coding RNA (237 nucleotides) under uncultured Gemmatimonadota bacterium. Its description in RNAcentral is "uncultured Gemmatimonadetes bacterium contains 16S-23S intergenic spacer region". The record is from RNAcentral. Lineage: Bacteria; Pseudomonadati; Gemmatimonadota.